AACGCUGAGACAGGUGCUGCAUGGCUGUCGUCAGCUCGUGUUGUGAAAUGUUGGGUUAAGUCCCGNAACGAGCGCAACCCUUUAUCCUUUGUUGCCAGCGAUUCGGUCGGGAACUCAAAGGAGACUGCCGGUGAUAAACCGGAGGAAGGUGGGGAUGACGUCAAGUCAUCAUGGCCCUUACGAGUAGGGCUACACACGUGCUACAAUGGCGCAUACAAAGAGAAGCGACCUCGCGAGAGCAAGCGGACCUCAUAAAGUGCGUCGUAGUCCGGAUCGGAGUCUGCAACUCGACUCCGUGAAGUCGGAAUCGCUAGUAAUCGUGGAUCAGAAUGCCACGGUGAAUACGUUCCCGGGCCUUGUACACACCGCCCGUCACACCAUGGGAGUGGGUUGCAAAAGAAGUAGGUAGCUUAACCUUCGGGAGGGCGCUUACCACUUUGUGAUUCAUGACUGGGGUGAAGUCGUAACAAGGUAGGCGUAGCGAG
RNAcentral lists this ribosomal RNA (485 nucleotides) under uncultured bacterium. RNAcentral describes it as "bacterial SSU rRNA". It matches the Rfam family "Bacterial small subunit ribosomal RNA", at positions 1025 to 1509 of the family's 1533-position model. The record is from RNAcentral.